UACGUAGGGUCCAAGCGUUAUCCGGAAUUACUGGGCGUAAAGAGUUGCGUAGGUGGCAUGGAAAGCGAAUAGUGAAAGCGUGUGGCUCAACCAUACAUCCAUUAUUUGAACUCCCAAGCUAGAAGAUGAGAGAGGUAGAUGGAAUUCCUGAUGUAGGGGUAAUAUCCGUAGAUAUCAGGAGGAACACCGAUGGCGUAGGCAGUCUACUGGCUCAUUCUUGACACUAAGGCACGAAAGCGUGGGGAGCAAACGGG
RNAcentral lists this ribosomal RNA (254 nucleotides) under uncultured bacterium. RNAcentral's name for it is "partial 16S ribosomal RNA". It matches the Rfam family "Bacterial small subunit ribosomal RNA", at positions 524 to 776 of the family's 1533-position model. The record is from RNAcentral.